Long non-coding RNA from Gavialis gangeticus (Gharial), 110 nucleotides. RefSeq lists it as uncharacterized. Lineage: Eukaryota; Metazoa; Chordata; Crocodylia; Gavialidae. The transcript is spliced from 3 exons. The record is from RefSeq and is a predicted model, not a curated record.
CCUUUUAUUUUGGGAGCAGAUGCUUGUUUUUUUCACUUGCAUGAGGACCAGGGUGGCUGUAAGGGGCAGAUUGGAGACCAGAGGGGUGCAGCAGGGGCAUCCAACUCAGA